CACACUAAAAGAGUGAUGAUUGAGUUCAACUCAAGCAUGAUUUGGAACUCCAUAAAUGUAGAGAAAUUAACACAUUGAAUAGCAAGAUUCAGUUGUGUGAAUUACGUGGGAAGGAAAAAUCCUUACAAGCAUAUCAAAGGUUAGUUAGGAAGAUACAUGAAUGACGCUGAGGUAAGUUUCAUUUUACUAAAUAGCUAACUUCUUCCCAAUAAAUUUUGUUUAAUUACAAAAUACUAAAUGCUGUCAAUAUUGAUUAUUAUAUGAAAAUUGCAGUAACUACAGAUUGUAUGUGUACCACUGAAUAGAUCAUUAAUAGCAUGUCUGGAUUUCUUAUUUCGAAAUGUUAUAGCACAUUAUGCCCAUGAAUGGACAAAUAUAAAUAAGCUUUCCAUUUCAAAAGUCUCUGAAAAUACUAACCAUUGAACAAAAGAGAUCAGGUUUAAAUGAUGCAAUGACUAUGAAUAAUAGAGUUGCCGCAAAUGACUACUGGGUACCAGGUUAAAUAAAUGAUGAUAAGAUAAUUUGAUAUCACAAGAAAUUAAAAUUAAAAUAUUUAAGUCACAGGUAGCAGACAUUCUAAAUAACACAAAAUUUCUCAUAGACAGGACAGCCCUGAAAAGCCAAUUUAUCAGUAAAGUAGUUUGCCAAGGUUGGCAGCCUCCCCUAUAUGCAGUGAAUUUGGGCAAAUAACCCUCUUUCGGGUUGCUUGGGGGAAUAGUUUGUUACUUCAUAAAUGCUUUCAGUAGAAUGGCAUCCAAGUUUUUUGGGUACUGGGUUGGGUCCCACCACACAAAGCUCAAUAGCAGAGUCCAUCUCUGCAUUAGUUGACACCAUACAAUGUCAUUAUCUCGAGGAGGAAGGAUAUUUCUGCCUCAACAAUAUCGAUAACAGAAUAUUUUCCAUAUAACCACCUAAUAACUCCCAUUUAUAAAGAUCUCAUAAUAUAUUAUACAUCAUUUUAAAGUGAAAAUAAGAGCCUAAAAAUUUCUCUGGGUAUAAUCUAUAGAAUUAUCGGCUUAGGACUAAGGGUGCAAAAUGAGUUGAGCCAAACCGAGUAACAGGCUGCUCAGGCUCAGUUCAUCAUGUAAAUAAGCUGCUCAAGCUCGACUCAAACUUGAGCCACACUCAAGAGACCUGCUCAAGCUUGGGUUGGCUAUGCUUUGAGCCGAGCUUCAGUUCAGCCAAGCUGAGCUUUACCACUAUACUUGAAUCUAGGUGUUCAGGCUCGGCUUGUUUACAAACCAAGCUUUGAGUUCUGUUCAAGCUCUGUUUAUUUUUGACAGAGUCGAGCCUGAACCAAGUUGCUGUCAAGCCAAGCCCAAGUUGCUCAUGAGCAGCUCGGGUGCAGCCCAACUUGAGACAUCAUAUCGAACAAUAAUGGCCUGGAUGCACUCGCUCAGCAGUGAAGGAAGCAUACGUUGGUGUGGAGAGAUAUAAAUGCCCCCAGCCCCCCACUAUACACUUCUGGAGGAAAAAGAUUUUCUUCAACAAACAUGUGUAGAACAUUUAAAGGCAAACUAUGUGGAAUCAUUACUAAAUAGUUGUAUUACAAUUUGCAAUUUUUUAAUGGCUAACAAGCUGAAAGAUUAGUAUGUAUUUGAACUUGCUAGAAUCUACAGUGCUGCAUGGACACAAACCCAGGAAUAUCCAAAUGACUAGCUCAACAAAAGUAAAGAAAGAACAAGAUAAAAUGGGAGAGGGGAGCGAGAUACAAGGAAACACAAGAACAUGUAAUUUUAGGUUGAUUAUACAUAUUCCAUGUUUUCUAAAUAAUUAUAUAAAAAUUAAAAGAAAUCAUUUCUCAAGAUGUUUAAAUUUACAUGUUCGUCAUCAAAAUUUCAAAAUUAGCUCAAGUAUAGAAGAAACAUAACAUUUCUGCUAAGUUGUUCUGACUUUUGCAUCCUUAAUUAAGCUCUAAAAACAAUAAAAGACUAGUUCAAACAUUAGCCAGUCCCCACUCAUCGUCAGAAAGACCAACUCAGCAUUGAUCGUUGAACAUUGCAACCAAAGAAUUUGAUAAGUAUUUACAAUUUUGACAUGUAUCAACUUGCAGAUAUGUAUCCAACACCGAUUAUUUGAGAUGGACACAGAAGUCCAUGCGACAUAGAUCUAAAACGUGGUUUUACAUUGCCAAUCAAGACAAUCUACAUACCAGCAAAUAUAUAACUGAAACUUAAGUAUACGUAACAUUUUAAUAGUUAGACUUCAGAUAUUUUGAUAACCCUUGACACACAAUUCUUCUAUCACCCUGCCCUGUCUCCGAAACAGUUUUCUGAAUAUAAGAUCUUCUACCUGACUGUGUCAGCAAUAUCCAACUAGAGUCAUAUUGCCUACCCCAAUAUAGUAUCUUGGUUAAGCUCAAUUACAGAUGGAAAUGACAAUGUGGACUCUAAUUAAAAGUUGAGGCCAAAGAAUAAAAUGGUGUAAUGAAUUUACUAACUCAUUCAUUAGGCAUGAAAACUUACUAUCCAACUGCAUCUUUAUUCCAGCCUCUAAUAAGCUGGUCUCCAGUAAUUGUAACGGCGGCAUAAAGCAUCUUCUGUAGGGUUUUUAAAUAUGUUUGAAAGGUUUUAAGAAAAAUGUUACAGGCCUUUAUGGUGCACAGAAUAUUUACCUAGUCAAAUUUGGCAAGUUAACCAUGUUAGCUUGGUUGACAGGACCUACAUAUGAACUAGAACACUAUACAUGAUAGUUUGAGUUACUGAGUGAUAGUCAAAUCCAACUAUGUUAGCAUUGCAUAAAAGUCAGUUUACAGUUUUUAAGGUAACAGAUAAUUCACAAAUGUAGUAAUAAGCCUUUGGUGACACACAAUGAGCAUACGGAGAAAGUGGCUUGUAGGAGAACCCAAAAAGACUAAGCUUUAUGCUUAUGCUAAAGUGAAGCUAUUAUUCAUACUCGUUAAUUAUGAUGAGUUUGCCCAUGUCAAAGCAAACACUUUUCUGCAUUUGCAGCAAUGAUAUAAGUGGACUAAGUAACUUGAAUUCGAACAAGAACCAAAUAGAUUUAAGCACAAAUCUAACCCGAUAUCUAAAAGUGGCUUCUAGGAGGAGCCAAAAAACUAGCUUUAAGCUCACACUUACGACAAGUGACUAGUCAUAUUUGUUGAUAAUCAUGAGUUUGCCAUGUCAAAGCAAACACUUCCUCUCUACAUUUACAACAAAUACUGAGUGGAUUAAGUAACCAGAAUUCAAACAAGAACCAAUUUAAUUUAAGCCCAAACCAGACCCAAUAUCUAGAUUAGGAUGGGCGGAAUCGUUCCGAACCAGACGGUUCCUGUCGUACCGAGCCAUCCUGGUAGCGGACCAGGACAGUUCCGGCAACGGAAAUGAAACCUAUUGCCGGAGGGGGAGAAGGAGAAGGAAAGAGAAAAAGAGAGAGCAAGCGGAAGAGGGAGGAAGUGGGAGAGGGAUGGAGAGAGGAGGGUAGCGAAGGCCGGCGAAGGGCCGGCGGAGACUAGCGCCUAGGCAGGUGAUGGAGGCCACGGCCAGAUCCCCUAUUUCGUUCGAAACAGAGGUCCGGCGGCUUUUUAAUUUCACGAUUUUUAUUUUUCCGACUUCACUUAAAAAUUGCGAAAUUAAAAAGCAGCCGGAACCCUAUUUCGAACGAAACAAGAGAUCCGGCCGCAGCCUCCGCCUCUUGCCCAGCCUCCACCACCCCUCUCUCCCUCCCUCUAUCCCCUUCUCUCUCUUUUCCUCUUUCUACCGUUCGCCCUCUCCCCCGCCUCCUCCACUGUGUCGGUACAGGCCCGGCACGGCACGGCUCAGGCCCAAACUGACUCAUGCCGCCAGAUUUACUGUGGUCCUCAUUCGAUGCAGCCAAGACCAUCGCAUGUGAUUUAAUACCCCGCAUAGUGGCUGGUUUCAGAUUACAAAGAACACAGACUUUCCGAUUCUGCAUUUCUUCAAGAGAGAUGUAUUUGACAAGACCGCUAACAACUGUCCUAGUUGAGUUGUCACCCACAUCGAUUUCUUCCACGUACAGAGAAUCAGCAUCUGGGUGCUUUUGAACUUUCUUCACCAUACCCACACGAAUGUCAAGUUUAGAUAUAGAAAUUUCUGUUUCAGAAGCCUUUGACUUUGAGCUACCAGCAGGCUUAGUCUGUUGUUUCUUUGCAUUUCCUUCUCUUAUUUUUGUGUUUUUCAGCUGCUCAGCAAUUUUUUUCUCUUCAGCUUCUGCUUUUACUUUUCUAUCAGCUUGACUACCGGC
This 4206-nucleotide long non-coding RNA is filed under the name Phoenix dactylifera (date palm). RNAcentral describes it as "long non-coding RNA (PDAC_LNC006350)". The record is from RNAcentral. Lineage: Eukaryota; Viridiplantae; Streptophyta; Magnoliopsida; Arecales; Arecaceae.